GGGGAGAGUUCCGUGUCCUGGCACCGCGAGUCUGCGGUGCUGGGAGAAGGGGCACCUGGGCUGCGGUGCGCAAGGGACCGGAGCUAGGAGCCAGGCAGUGCAGAUACUCACCGCUGAGCAUCACCCGCUGUGACCUAGGACCCUGAGGAUCAGUGGCAGCAACGGAAAUGCAUCUAGGAGAUUCUUCGCCUUGAAGAAGAAAAAAGGCAUCCCCAGAGAGAGGUGACCCAAGCCUCCCCUUGAACAGAACUGCUCAGACUUCUGAUCAGCCAUGGUGGUGAAAAGAUCUGUUUUCAGAAAUCCCCAGGGAUACGCAGAAUUUUAGCACACUCGUUAACGGCUCAAUAUAUUACAGGAAGACUGAAAGACUAAGCUUGGCAGGGUAUGCUUCCAACACUGGAUAAGGUAUGUGAAUGAUCAGGAGUUUGCAGUUUACUGUUAUGGAUGACAGGACACGGUAUGACGGAGAGCUCUGAUAACAGCUGUACACAACUUUGUAACCAACCCUCUUCCUAACAAGCUUGAAACUCAGGCCAGGCUAACCCAACCUUCUGGUGGGCUUGGGCUGAAGUCUGAGUCAACUUGGGCCAAUGUGAGUUUCUGCAAAACAUUACAGCUCAAAACAUAACAGCUUCACAAAACAAACAAACAAACAAACAUGUAAAACUUGUCAAUUUCAGCUGUGAUUUAUGAGUUUAAUUUGUUUCAAUCCAAAACUCAGCAUAACUCUUAAGGGUGUGAAACCAGAAAAAGGUUCAGAUGAAUUCCUGUGAACCAGACUUGUGGGUACCUUUGUCACAGAUCGGACCUCAACAAGAUCUCACAGUUUAAAUUAAACUUCUGAUGCAAAAACUAAAGGCUGCUGUUGAGAAGGAGGAGAAACUGCAAGUAUCUCCGAGGAAACAUG
Mauremys reevesii (Reeves's turtle) is the source of this 907-nucleotide long non-coding RNA. RefSeq lists it as uncharacterized. Lineage: Eukaryota; Metazoa; Chordata; Testudines; Geoemydidae. The transcript is spliced from 4 exons. The record is from RefSeq and is a predicted model, not a curated record.